RNAcentral lists this ribosomal RNA (647 nucleotides) under Gracilaria salicornia. RNAcentral describes it as "eukaryotic LSU rRNA". It matches the Rfam family "Eukaryotic large subunit ribosomal RNA", at positions 1264 to 1919 of the family's 3401-position model. The record is from RNAcentral. Lineage: Eukaryota; Rhodophyta; Florideophyceae; Gracilariales; Gracilariaceae.
GAAUCCGCUAAGGAGUGUGUAACAACUCACCUGCCGAAUGAAGUAGCCCUGAAAAUGGAUGACGCUUAAGCGGGUAGCCGAUACUAUGCCGUCUAAAAAAUGUUUAAUUUUUAGAUGAGUAGGGGGGCGUGGUGAUCGUAUCGAAGCGCUGCGUGCGAACGCGCGUGGAACGGUCACUAGUGCAGAUCUUGGUGGUAGUAGCAAAUAUUCAAGUGAGAACCUUGAAGGGCGAAGCGGGGAAGGGUUCCAUGCGAACAUUGAUUGGGCAUGGGUGAGUCGUACCUAAGCCGAGUGGCAAUUGCUUACUCACGCGGCGAAAGGGAAGCGGGUUGAAAUUCCCGCACACGGAUGUGGAAGCGGCGACGCAUUACUGGGGCGGUGACGUUGGCAGUGGCGCUGGGCAGAGUUGUCUUUUCUGUUUAACCGCCUGACGCUUGCACUGUGGAAUCCGCUUGUCGGGAGAAACAGGCAAGGCACGGGUAGAGCGCCGGGCUUUUUCCGGCGUCCAGCUCGCCACUGACGGCCCUUGAAAAACUGUCCUCAGAUAUUAUAAAAACUCCACGCCGUGGCGUACCGAUAUCCGCAUCAGGUCCCCAAGGUGAACAGCCUCUGCUCGAUAUGAAAAAUGCAGGUAAGGGAAGUCGGCA